AGUUUCCUGUAUAAUGUAUCUAUGUUUAUAUGUCAAGCAAAAGACGAUAUUCCUGAGAUCAUUGCGAUAGUCUAAUGUCUAUAUGUCACUCCGGUCUUCUCGUCAUGCCUCGUGUCCUGCACCAAGCCGGGUGAUCCAUCAGCUGUGCGAUAUGACCUUGACUGACCUUGGGAAAGUUAUCCUGCCAUUUAGUCUGCAAAGGGCGAUAAUGAGUUUUAUGGUGGAUAGGCGUUGACAAACCAAGACGGGCCUGGCGAACUUCUACUGAUUUCUGGCAAUGAGGCGACUUGUAUGAUAUAUAAUUCCAGGGUUAUAUGUCAAUGUGUGACCUAAUAAAUAGGUUUCUGAUCAUGAGGAGCGAGCUUUCUGCUACGCGAAAUUUGAAACCCAUCGAAUAAAUAAAGGAUAAGCAGGAUGCCCAAGCUGUCAACACGUUCAGAAUGUAGAGGAUCACGAGUUAACAAGGGCUGAUGGAGGUUCGUGGCAAACGAGGGUUAACGUUUGUGAGUCCUGACGCGGGAAAGCUGGCCAUCUGAUUUGAAUUCCCCGCACACAAGCCCGAUUUUUUUUAAACCUUCAUUUGCAGCCCGUUCUCCAGAGACGGGGCCACUUAACCAGUUACUGGAGCCAGAGGCGGCACCACCCACAGCCGCGACCGGGGACGCUCCCACUCUCACCGCGCCCACCUCACCGCAAGGCUACGGCAACAACUCUGCUGGACGGCUUCGUCUCGUCGUGCCUGACCAGCGGGUCGUUGGCGGAACUCCGGCGGGGACGGAGGCGACAUGUCCCGACGAGGGACGGCAGCGGGCCGCGGCGUGCUGCUGGGGCUGGCGCUCGGGGUGCUUGUGCAGUUUGCCAGGUCCGAGUACACGCUGAUCAAGAUGCUGGAGAGUAGAGGAUAUGACCGAAACCUGAGACCAAACUUCAAUGGGCCUCCGGUCGAGGUGAGCUUUAGCAUGACCAUAGCCAGCAUCGACCAGAUCUCAGAAGUCAACAUGG
This is a long non-coding RNA of Branchiostoma floridae (Florida lancelet), 1002 nucleotides long. RefSeq lists it as uncharacterized. Lineage: Eukaryota; Metazoa; Chordata; Leptocardii; Amphioxiformes; Branchiostomatidae. The transcript is spliced from 3 exons. The record is from RefSeq and is a predicted model, not a curated record.